Schizosaccharomyces pombe (fission yeast) is the source of this 249-nucleotide non-coding RNA. Lineage: Eukaryota; Fungi; Ascomycota; Schizosaccharomycetes; Schizosaccharomycetales; Schizosaccharomycetaceae. The record is from the annotation of a GenBank genome assembly.
UUUUCACGAAGAUCGUUUUUGGAAAUGUUGGCCUUGCCAGGAUGCAAAAUGUCGACCACCUAAAACGCCCUCAUGUUAGUAUAUGCCACGUCUGAUCGUAAAGAACUUAUAAGCAAAAAAAUACAUACCAUUUGCUUCCUCUGAAGCAAGCGGUUGGUCAUAAACUUGCGAGUUCUGAUUGUAACCGCCUCACUCAUAUUGGUCUUAAUACAACUAUCUAGCGCCCACGAAUUCCAAAAUUUUACCCCA